GAUUCCAUAGUGUAGCGAUUAGCACGUCUGCUUUACACACAGAAGGUCCUGAGUUUGCACCCCAAUGGAGCCA
This is a non-coding RNA of Pteropus alecto (black flying fox), 73 nucleotides long. Lineage: Eukaryota; Metazoa; Chordata; Mammalia; Chiroptera; Pteropodidae. The record is from Rfam.